Mycena latifolia is the source of this 111-nucleotide non-coding RNA. Lineage: Eukaryota; Fungi; Basidiomycota; Agaricomycetes; Agaricales; Mycenaceae. The record is from the annotation of a GenBank genome assembly.
UCCGAAUUGGUGUAGGGGUCAACAUUGCCGCUUCUCAAAUUUGCUUACCUAAGCAUUUAUGACUUCGUAAUUUGGUCGCGGCAGCCCGGGGUUCGAUUCCCCGAUUCGGAA